GACGAACCGUGCGAACGUUAUUCGGAAUUAUUGGGCUUAAAGGGUGCGUAGGCGGCGGUGUAAGUCAGGUGUGAAAUCUUGCCGCUCAACCGUAGAAUGGCGCCCGAUACUGCAGUGCUUGAAGGAGACAGAGGUAGGCGGAACUGAUGGUGGAGCGGUGAAAUGCGUUGAUAUCAUCAGGAACACCAGUGGCGAAAGCGGCUUACUGGGUCUUAUCUGACGCUGAGGCACGAAAGCUUGGGUAGCAAACAGG
RNAcentral lists this ribosomal RNA (253 nucleotides) under uncultured bacterium. RNAcentral's name for it is "partial 16S ribosomal RNA". It matches the Rfam family "Bacterial small subunit ribosomal RNA", at positions 524 to 776 of the family's 1533-position model. The record is from RNAcentral.